AUGGAAAAAAUGUUCAGUUCAGUUCAGGUGUGCAGAGCAGGAGGAACAUACGGGUGCCAAGGGGCUCUUGGGGAUCUUGUUGGGCGGCGGAGGGGGGUCGCCGCGGUCGGCGACGAAGCUCCGGCUGCGUGUCACCAACCUCGGCAUGACGCUGGUGCUCUUCCUGACGGAAGACACCGAGCUGCGCGCCGGCGAGGGGCGCUCCUUGACGGGCGUCCUCUCCUCGAAGCAGAGCGCGAUGGGCCUGACGACCUUGGGCGACGCCACCGUGGCGCCACCAUGGUUCUCGGGGCCCCAGGAGCCCCUGCGCGGCGCGGCGGGCUUCCUGGCGAGGGGCUCGGGGGUGCCGACGACGAGCGGGUGGCGCCCGGGGAUGGGCCUGGCGCCGACGACGACGGGGACGGGGGAGCCCGGGUCGAGGCGGUCGACGUGGAGGAACUGGCCGAGGCUGAGCUUGUUGGCGAGCACGAGGUCGGCCUGCGCGGGGGGUAG
This 492-nucleotide ribosomal RNA is filed under the name Triticum aestivum (bread wheat). RNAcentral's name for it is "partial small subunit ribosomal RNA". The record is from RNAcentral. Lineage: Eukaryota; Viridiplantae; Streptophyta; Magnoliopsida; Poales; Poaceae.